This 253-nucleotide ribosomal RNA is filed under the name uncultured bacterium. RNAcentral describes it as "partial 16S ribosomal RNA". It matches the Rfam family "Bacterial small subunit ribosomal RNA", at positions 524 to 776 of the family's 1533-position model. The record is from RNAcentral.
UACGAAGGACCCAAGCGUUAUCCGGAUUUAUUGGGUUUAAAGGGUGCGUAGGCGGAUUAUUAAGUCAGUGGUGAAAGCCUGCAGCUUAACUGCAGAACUGCCAUUGAUACUGAUGAUCUUGAGUAUGAUUGAGGUGGGCGGAAUGUGUCAUGUAGCGGUGAAAUGCUUAGAUAUGACACAGAACACCGAUUGCGAAGGCAGCUCACUAAGCCAUAACUGACGCUGAUGCGCGAAAGCUAGGGGAGCAAGCAGG